UAAGUGCUUCCAUGUUUGAGUGU
Molecule: microRNA, 23 nt
Filed under: Dasypus novemcinctus (nine-banded armadillo)
Lineage: Eukaryota; Metazoa; Chordata; Mammalia; Cingulata; Dasypodidae
Also listed under: 11 other names
Description: dno-miR-302d-3p
Gene: dno-miR-302d-3p
Source: miRBase by way of RNAcentral